CGGGGAGUGGGGCGGGGCAUCGCGGCGAGCGCCGUUGGCGGGGAACCGGGCGGGGAAUCUCUGUGCUUCCUCAGUCCCCAGGCCCAGCACCUGCAGGGCCGAGCAGCUCCAGUCCCAGGUCCAAUCCUGAGUGGCCAAAAGCCGGAAACCCGGAGUUGGAAUUGGAUCUUGCACAAGCUGGACCACGGAGUGAGGCUACUUGAGAAGCAUCUUAAAUGGGGAGAGAGAGCAAGUUAAAUCUGAUUUCCACGCAGCUCUGUGGAUUCCGAAUGUCCACAGUAUGAUGUUAUCUCCAUUCCCACUUCCGAGCCGCUCCUCUUCUGUGUGUUUCCUGCACCACCAUUCGCUCAGUUGCUCUACACUAAAAUUUGCUGUCAUCGUUGACUUCUCCCUCUCCUUCAUCCCCUACAAGUAUCAACAUAGACAACUCCGAUCAAUGUAAUCAUCAGUGAAUAAAGCAAAUUGCAGCGCAUAUUCUUAAAGACAAACUUUCCACUUGCAGCAGCACCUACCUUCCAGAUAGCUAAAUUGAAGCCCGUGUUUAUCAUAGCUGCUUCUAACCAGCCAGAGCUGAUAAUAACUAAGAACUUGCAGGAAUUGCAGUAUGCCAGACCUUCAGUUUAAUUGAAGACUUUCCUGAACAAUUAAUGAGACUUGUCUUAACCAGCAGGGAAUGGCUUUAGGGACUCAUUCUUCCCUAUGCAGGUGCAAGCCUCAAACCUUAAUUAGGAUCAUCCACCAUGAUCCUCGAGCCCUUCCUCACCUUAUACUUGAAGAGGCUGAACCUCAAGAGAAUUAAAUUACCUACAGUCCUGGUCACUGGUAGAGCUAUUAUUUAAAGUAAGGUCUAAUGUCAAAGCCUGCGUCCUUAAUUCUACCAUAUGCUGCUUCUUGCAGUGUCGUUCCUCAACCAGAACACAUAGCUCUUCUGUGUAGGUAAAGUCCAUCAAAACAUGUCAUAAAAUAAAUUAAAGAAAUUGGU
RNAcentral lists this long non-coding RNA (982 nucleotides) under Pan troglodytes (chimpanzee). RNAcentral's name for it is "long non-coding RNA NONPTRT014995". Lineage: Eukaryota; Metazoa; Chordata; Mammalia; Primates; Hominidae. The record is from RNAcentral.